AUGGCGGAUAGGAAGACUAACGG
RNAcentral lists this non-coding RNA (23 nucleotides) under Cricetulus griseus (Chinese hamster). The record is from RNAcentral. Lineage: Eukaryota; Metazoa; Chordata; Mammalia; Rodentia; Cricetidae.